UGGCUCCUUCCCCUGGAGCUGCUAAGUGUUGGGAUGUAAGUCAUGGCCUCUCGCAGACAUCCUGCCUGUCAGGUGGACUCACUCUUUCUAAGAUAGAGAGAGAGAUCCCUGAAAAUAGCAUUUGAACCAGUUCUGGAUCCAGCUCUGCCCAAAGCCUGCUACUCCCUUUGGCUAAAUUUCAUUUCCCAGCCAAUAAACUCGCUAUUUUUAAGCUAGUUGAAUCAGCCUCUGUCUCUUGCAUCCAAAAGUGCUCUAACUAAGAAUCCAAGGAGAGUUCUCUGGAGUCCACUACUCAACAGUGGGAGCAAGUGUGCGGAAGGGCGUGUUGCUGACUCACUGGCCACACAAAGACUGACCAGAGAGGGCUUUGAGCCACUGCUCAAAGACGCUGGCAGUCCUUGCAGGGCAGCCCUCUAAAUGAAACCUUAUUAAGCAACCCCUGGCUUCAACACUAUUCUUAGCUGCCUGGAAUUGCGUGGAGGAGGCCAGCCGGGGCACAACCAAACAGGGUCACCUCCCUACCUCCUCCUGUCGCAGCCUCUGACGCAGGCCUGAAAUCUGGGGCAGAUGGAUUUUUCAGCUCAUCUCGUCACUCUCCUCUACCUGGGCAGACACAUGAGUCAGCCUUGGGAACAGCUCUGAUCUUCUCACCCUGCACCCCGACAAAGGUGAAUUAUGCUCCAGUGAUAACCCCUGGUUACCUACGGUCAAAGGUUAUGAGUGAGAGUCUCUUUCCCAGAAGAUGCAGCGAAAAUGUCAUUGCAUCUCAUUGGCUCCGACUAGGUCACGAAUGAUACAUGAACGUCAAUGGAAAGGGAAAUGAGACACGCUGAUGGCUUAGGCCUGGGUCACCAACGCCACGCCUGGGGCUGGGUGUGGAAUCAACUUUAAUGGGAACUGCAUGGAAAUUGGGUACAGUCACCAGGGGGACUCUGGCAGUGUUUACUGCAGUGAGUUUUGCCUUAUAAGAAACUAUAUGUAUGUGUCACAUAAUGUUUUGUCUCCACUGCACAAGCCAGCUCCAUACCUUGAAAAUAGCCAGCAUCUGCGCAUGUAAAAUAAGAAUUCCCCACAAAGCCAGACUGACUUGGAGAAAGGGUUACUUACUGAUUUCAAUUCCAGGAGUCAGGCUAGUUUGUUAAAAUUUUGAUAUAAGUGCGUCAGCAUAGAAAACUUAAACUCAAAAGUUUCUCAAAGUCUAAAGCAGGACCAUUUUCUAUUCUUAAAGGCAUGAAGAUCCUCCACCGGUUUGUUAUUAAAGCCUGUUGCAGUAAGA
This is a long non-coding RNA of Equus quagga, 1276 nucleotides long. RefSeq lists it as uncharacterized. NCBI's taxonomy places the organism in Eukaryota, Metazoa, Chordata, Mammalia, Perissodactyla, Equidae. The transcript has 3 exons. The record is from RefSeq and is a predicted model, not a curated record.